This 19151-nucleotide long non-coding RNA is filed under the name Malus domestica (apple). Its description in RNAcentral is "long non-coding RNA (MDOM_LNC018174)". The record is from RNAcentral. Lineage: Eukaryota; Viridiplantae; Streptophyta; Magnoliopsida; Rosales; Rosaceae.
AGCCAACCAAGGCAACAUAAGCCACAAACAGAGUAGCCUCGCAACAUGUGCUACUUCUAGUUGAGCAUCAUUUCAGUUUGGGCACCGCCGCAUAUCAAGUAUCAGUUCUAGAUGACAUCUAGUUACUUCGGACCACACAUAGACUGAAUUUCAAGUCUCCAGCCAAAAGAAUCUCUUGACUGAAGACUUAGAGGACUACUAUUUGUACCAUACUUAGGGCCUCCAUAUUUAGACCUCAUAUAAAUACUCGGGGGACUCAAAUGUAAUUAUGUAAUAAAUGGAGGGGCAAAUAUGUAAUAAGUGAGGAACCCUUAUUCUAUAAAAGGGCCUCAUAACCCUCACAAACCUCAAGCUCAUCCUCACAUACAAAAGCUCUCUCCCUCACAAUCCUCUCAGAGAAAUACAAUAUCAGUGUGGACGUAGCCCAAACAUUGGGGUGAACCAUAAUACAUAUUGUGUUAUUUACUUUCUUGCAGAUUCAUGGUCGGAUUUAUGUUGUUCCAAGACCCCUCCGGUUUUGUGCAUCAACAUUAGUUAAUGUGAUUGAUUAAGGAAAAGGUGAUUAUGAACCAAAAACCUUAAUAAUUGAGCUAUGUGAUUGGCCACUUUACAUUAUGAAUGUUUGGGUUAAGUAGUUUAGAUUUGAAUGUAAUUUGAUUAGUUCAAAUGUGUUGUAAAAGGGCAUAAGUCUUUCAAAUGUGUUGUAAAAGGGCAUAAGCCCUUCUCUUUAUUUUAAGUAUUCCAUUUUGUUUAGUUGUAUGCAAAUGGAAUAGUUGGGUCCAACGCCCAAUAGGAAAUGACGGUUUAAUUAGAUUAAACACGUAACUAAAAUAACCAACUACCUACCUUAGACCCAAGGUCUAACACAAGGCUCGUGUUUGAUCAAAUCAAACGGUUCAUAAUCAUCCUAAGACCUAAGAUGACUAUAUAGUCCAUAUGAGGAUGCUACGCAUUCGUUAGUAGUUCCAUAUAGUCUUGCUUAUUUCAUCGAAAUAGUGGGAGUAUUAUAUACUACUAAUUCAUAUAAACUUGGACCAAUGGUUGUGAUAGGUCCAAGUCCUUUUAUUAAGAUUAAAAUGAAAUUGAUGUAGCCCGCACUACUCCCUCAACAAAACGAAUAUUAAGUUGAUAAGCGAGAGAUGCUUUGAACAUCUCUUCAUAGGCCUUACACCAUGGUGGGCUCCAAUCGUUUGUGACUCAAACACCAGCUUCACUCUAUCAUGGGGAAGUUCAAAGUAUGUGCCUACCUUCAGGAGGAGUCCAUAUGUACAUACAUGAUGUGGUAAGGUAGGCAACGAGGAUGGCCAACAUCAUAUCAUUGUGAGGCUAUUCUUGAACCCCUACACGAACUAGCAUGGUGGGAAAGACCUAACUAAGUGCAAUGGUGUCAACAUCAUAUCAUUGUGAGGCAUCAUUCUUUAGAGGCCAAACUAGAUGGGUAAUUACAAGAGUUAUAAAUGACUAAAGCGUUAUUCUCUCAUCAUUGUUGUUGCUAACCAACAUCAUAUCAUUGUGAGGUGGGCUUGGUAAUGGUGAGCCUCCCAUACCCCGCUAAGAGUUCAACAUAACUCUUGGAUUCCAUUGAGGGAUGUGGAAUUUGCCAAAAAUAGUGGGUGGUACUAUUUGAUUUAAGACCCAAUCAAGUAGUUUUAAAAUCAACAAUCUAAUACGAUUUCUGUUAUGUUAUGUAGUUAACGACAUGCCUAAACUUACACCUACCAUUAUACUUGACCAAAAGGGCCUUAGGGACCAACGUUUCCUUGCUUGGUAUCAUCACAUUGAGAAUGGCUCAAAGAUGCAUGACAUAUCGUAUAUGCUCAAGCAAUCCCCUCCUCAUGUACCUCCUACAAAAUUAGCUUCAAAGGAGGAGUAUCAAAAUUAUUUUAGACAUUUUGAGGAUGACUUACAAGCCAAAUGUUUAAUCCUCGCUUCACUUAGUGAGCAGCUUAAGAAGCUACAUGAGCAAAUGGAUACUUCUUGUGCCAUGGUUGAUAGUUUGCAUAAGAUGCAUGUCAUUGAGACAAGUAACGUACGAUUCUCAAAUGUUUGUAGUCUAUUGAAUGCCAAAAUGACAAAGAGGACAUCGGUCCAAAAAUAUGGAUAAAAGAUGGAAAGGAACUUCCAUCGAUGGGAAAAUGGCCCAAGACUUUUUCCUUGCAUCUCUCUCAAAUGAUUUCACUAAGUUUAUAGUAAACUAUAAAGUGAAUAGAUUCGAUCAUACUUUUACUGAGAUGAUUGACAUGUGUUGUAAGUUUGAACAAAGUUUCAAAAAGGACAGUGGGAGUGAGAAUGCAAUCACAAGGAAAAUGUUGCAUAAGAAGGCGGCAAGAAAAUCCAAAGGAACAUGCUUUCAUUGUGGAAAGGAUGAACGUUGGAAAAAGAAAUACAGGGUGCACAUUGCUAGCCUUAUGACAUGAGCUUUUGAAGUGACUAUUUCUGUCAUAGAGAGUGUUUUUAUAGUAAGCUCCAAUUCCUGGAUAUUUGAUUCAGGCGCUAGUCAACAUAUCCACAAUUCAUUGCAAAGACUAACAAAGAGCAGAACACUGCGUAAUGAGGAGAUGAUUGUGCGAGUUGGGAACGACACUAAGAACUCUGCAAAAGCAGUAGGCACUUGCAUGCUUAAACUACCCUCUAGGGAAGUCUUGGAACUUAAAAAUGGUUUAUAUUUUCCUUUAUGCAUAAAUAAUUUGAUUUCCAUCUCUAUGCUUUUACGAGGUGGGCACUCAGUAUUGUUUGACAAAAUGAGUUGCACUUUAUACUUGAACGGUCGUAUUAUAUUUCAUGGUAAUAUGAUAGAGUGGCUUUUUCACCUAGAGACAAGUAGUGGAAUGCACUGUAUAUAAAGCGGGAAUACCUCAAAACCCAAAAGGGCUAGAGAAGAAGUUAACCAAGAAAAGAUGUGGCAUCUUAAACUUGGACAUGUGAACCUUGAUAAUAUUUGCAAGAUGUCGAAAGACGGAUAUUUCAACCCAUUAGGUAAUGACCAAAUGGGUUUCUGUGAAUGUUGCUUGAAAGGGAAGAUGACCAAAUCUCCAUUCACUGGGAAGGGAGAGUGUGCCACUGAAACUCUAGGGUUAAUCCACACUGGCCUAUGUGGACCUAUGUCUACUACGUCAAGAUGAGGCUUCUCCUACUAUAUCACAUUCACCGAUGAUCACUCUCAAUUUGGCUAUAUGUAUCUUAGGAAGUGCAAGUCAAAAUCAUUUGAAAAGUUCAAAGAAUUCAAGAAUGAAGUUGAAAAGCAAACUGGGAAGUAGAUAAAGAUCCUAAGAUCAGAUCGAGGGGGAGAGUAUUUAAGUAAUGAGUUCCUAGAUUAUCUCAAAGAGUGUGGAAUACUAUCACAGUGGGCUCUACCAAGAACUCCAUAACUUAAUGGAGUUUCUGAAAGGAGAAAUCGAACCUUGAUGAACAUGGUACGUUCUAUGAUGAGUUCCGCUGAUCUACCAGUAACAUUAUGGGGAUACGCUCUAUAUACAGUAGCUUACUUACUUAAUAGAGUACCUUCCUAGUCAGUUUCAUAGACACAUAUGAGAUAUGGCAUAGGCGAAAGCCAAGUCUUAAUCAUAUUAAGAUUUGGGGUUCUGAAGCUUAUGUCAAGAAGCUUGAAGCGAGAUCGGUUAGGUGCUAUUUUGUGGGAUAUCCUAGAAAAACUAUGGGAUAUGAGUUUUACCAUCCUGACGACCAGAAAGUCUUUGUCGCCAGAAUUGCUAAGUUUCUAGAGGACUAAUUUUUUCUCAAAAGAACUACAAGUACAACGAUGGAAAUUAAUGAGAUUAAUGAUGAACCAUAAAUAAGCACUCGACAAGUUGACAACCCCAUUCCUGAACCCCUAGCUCCACGUAGAUUUGAACGGGUCAGCAAGCCACCUAAGAGGUAUGGCUUAGAUAAUGACUUUAGGGAAUUGCACCUUCUAGGUGACAAUGAUACAUAUAAGGACCCUAGAGACUACACUGAAGCAAUGUCCGACAUUGAUUCAAAGAGAUGGCAAGAGGCCAUGAAAUCCGAGAUGGAUUCCAUGUAUCAAAAUCAAGUCUAGACUCUUGUAGACCCUCCAGAAGGUAUAGUACCUGUUGGAAACAAAUGGCUUUUCAAGAGGAAAAUAUGCGCUGAUGGGAACAUGGAGACUUAUAAGGCUAGACUAGUAGCCAAGGGUUGCAUGCAACGAGAAGGGAUUGACUAUGAAGAAACAUUCUUUCUUGUAGCCAUGAUUAAGUCCAUUCGGAUUUUGCUUGCUAUAGUUGCAUACCAUGACUAUAAGAUAUGGAAAAUGGACAUGAAGACGGCCUUUCUGAAUGGCUACCCAGAGGAAGAGCUUUAUAUGACUCAACCCGAAGGUUUUGUGUCCAAGUCUGAAAAGACUAAGGUAUGCAAGCUUCAGAGGUUCAUUUUGAUACUAAAAUCAAAUCAUUUGGUUUUACUUAAAACGAAAACGACAAUUGUGUUUAUCAAAAGGUUGUUGGGGAUGCAGUUGUAUUCCUAGUGUUAUAUGUAGAUGAUAUAUUACUAUUUGGGAAUGACACUGCGGUACUUUCUUCUGUAAAAGUGUGGUUGUCCAAAACCUUCCACAUGAAAGAUUUGGGAGAUGCAUCUUAUGUUCUUGGGAUAAAGCUCUAUCAUGAUAGAUCUAGAAAAUUGAUUGGAUUAUCCCAAUCUAUGUACAUAGAUAAGGUGCUAAGUUGGUUCCAGAUGGAACAAUCUAAGAAAGGUUUUCUUCCUGUGAGACAUGGAAUUCACCUUUCUAAAUCCAUGAGACCUAAGACUCCUAAAGAAUACGACAGAUGAGUGUUAUUGCUUAUGUUUCUGCCAUAGGAAGUCUCAUGUAUGCCAUGAUAUGCACAAGGCCUGAUAUUGCAUAUAUUGUGAGCAUUACUAGUCGAUAUCAAUCUAACCUAUGAUUAGAACACUGGGCAGUUGUCAAGACGGUCCUUAAGUACUUAAGAAGAACUAAGGACAUGUUCCUCGUUUAUAGAGGAGCAACAAAAUUGCGAGUGGAAGCCUAUACAGAUGUAGAUUUCCAAUCUAACGUCGAUGAUAGAAGUUCCAACUCCAGGAAUAUGUUCACUCUGAAUGGUGGGGCUGUCAGCUGGAAAAGCAAGAAACAAUAUGUAAUUGCUGAUUCUAUAACGGAGGCAGAAUAUGUUGCUACAACUGAAGCCGGCAAAGAAUCAUUUUGGAUGAAUAAGUUCAUUACUGAACUUCGAGAAGUUCCAACCAUUACAUCCCCAGUAACUUUAUACUGUGAUAAUAAUGAGGCGAUAGCUCAAGCCAAGGAACCUAGGGCUCAUCAAAAGAACAAGCAUUUUGACAGACACUUUGAUAUCAUUAGAAGAUAUGAUGUCGAAGGGAAAGUCAACAUCUUCAAGGUUGCCUCAGCUAAUAAUAUAUCAGAUCCACUAACGAAGCCAAUGUCUCAAAUCUAACUUGAUUGCCAUAUGGAAAAGAUGGGUAUUAGAUACAUGUGAAGGUGGCUUUGAGUGUAAGUGGGAGAUUGUUGGAAGUAUUCCCACAAAACCACUCAUUUGAUGUAAUAGCUUUUGGAAUACUUAUUGUGUUAAACUAUUAUAUGUUUAAGGAAGGGCAAAGCUUAUUGUGAAUCACUAUUUAUUAUAUUAUGUGUUUAAGCAAUAAAGGAAUCCAAGGAAUGUAUUUAAUCUACGAGAGAAGUGAUCUAAGUAAGUUAGAUUAACGAGACCAUUCUCUUAUGUUCAUUCCUAAAAAGUUCCUAGCCAUAGGAUUGCCAAUUGGGCAUUGACAAUCCACUAAGGUUAGUAUGUGUCAUGUUAACUCAAGCGUGAGUAUGACUAGUCUCAAGUCAUUUAGUGUUGGACACUGAGACAAACACAUAGGUGAUCAAAAGGUAAUUGAGUACAAUAAACAACGAUCAAAAGAGAGUUUGAAUAUACAUGUCAUGUAAGAACUCGUAAGUUGCAAUAUGCAAAGUAGUCAUUUGACCUGAGGCAUCAUAAAUGUCUAAUGGUUAGGUCUUUGAUCUUUGAUCAUGUCAAAGGCAUUCCAUCUAGAGUGUCCACGACAUUGUUGGGGUCAAGCAAUCUAGUCAUGUACGCAUAUGAAUGCACAACAAGGGAUCUCUAACCUUCCAUGGUGGAGGGAAAAUUCUAUGAGAUAUGAUUCGAGAGUCUUUGGCCAAAGCAUACGAAUAUGACUUAGGAAGUUUGUUCCAAAUCACAUUCAAUUGAAUCAUAUAGAGAAUUAUCAUAUUUGAUAGUAGACAUGAAACAAACUAUCACUCAAACACUGUGAUUAAGAGUAUUGUAUUAUAGAACGACCGUAUUGCAUUGUAAUUGUAAUUGGAUCGGUUCUCCAACUACUUCUACUUAGCUUGGGUAGCCAUGACAUACUGCUAGGUGUCACUCAUGGUUUGUGGAAGCUCUGAAGAUUAGCAAACACUAUCUUCAUCAAAGGGAGAAUUGAAAUGUAGUUUCAAUUCACAAUCGAUCGUUAAGAGUAACAAUUGCCCACUGCCUUGCUAAUUGGAACCUAAUGGAUCGUACACCAAGUAAGGAUGAAAGUGAAGAAAUAUAAAUGAGAUGGAUAAGCAAUUAAAUGGUUUAAUUGAGAAUGGUCAAGAUUAAUUAAUUAGCUAAUUAAUUAUACGAAAGGUUUGUAUUGGGCUUUUAAGUUAGUUUCAGGUUUCGAGGCCCAAAAGGGUUUUUGGUCCAUAAGGCCCAUUGAGUUUAUGUUGUGUGACAACUAAAACUAAAUGGGAAAAUAGCCCAAAAACAAAGCUAAAACCGGCCACUUAGGGAGAGUGAGUUGAUUGACUUAUUACAAGUUUGCCACUCACUUGUGAGAUGGUAUAAAGGCAACUUUAUAGCAAUUCCUUUAUUAGGGUUUUCUUGAGGCAAAGAAGAGAAACCUUUUCUCUCUUUUUUCUCUAUAGAGGCCGGGCACUUAGGGGAAGGAUAGCUAGUAAUCUUUCUUCCUCUAAGUCAUCCAUUUCAUAUUCACAGCUCAUCCUUGGUGUGGAGACUUAGUGACACCAAACCUUUGGUGUUCUGGGAGAUCCUUUCCUCACACCCUCACUAAGCAAAGGAGUAUCAAAAGGAAGAAAAUUAGAAGGAAGAUCAAAGGAGCUAGGAGGUGACUUGAAGGCCCUUCACUUGGGUGAAUCCUUUGUGUAACAAGGAUGAACUUAAGUACAAUGGUGCCAAUAUGACAUUCUUCUGAGGCAUCAUUCUCUAGAGGCCAAAUAAGAUGGGUACUUACAUGAGAUGUAAAUGAGUAAGUGUACUCUCUCAUUAUUAUUAAAGUUAGCCAAUAUGAUAUUCUUCUGAGGUAGGCCGGUAAUAGUGGGUACUUACAUGAGAUGUAAAUGAGUAAGUGUACUCUCUCAUUAUUAUUAAAGCUAGCCAAUAUGAUAUUCUUCUGAGGUGGGCCGGUAAUAGUGAGUCUCAUAUUCCCUACUAAAAGUUUUCUCCAAGACUCUUGAAUUGCUCUUGAGGGAUAUGGAAUUUUUCAAAAUAAUGGGUAGUGCCAUUUGAUUUAAAGAACCAGAUCAAAUGGCUUGAAAUCAAUCAAUUUAUGUUCAUUAUGUAUUGUUUAUGUUGAGUGCAUAAAGUUAUACUUUUACGCCCUCUUUUACUUAGGUUUUUCACUUAAAAUCUCUAUGCAUCACAAUGUAUUUUGUUGUUUAUAUUGUACUUCAAGAUGGAAGUAAGGGCUUGAAGAAAUCAUCUUAUUUUGAAUAUCUUAAGAGCCUAGAAUGGAUAGUUUGAAGCCUAACUCGCCCAAGACCAGACCAUAGCCCACAAGUUGCCCAGGAUCUGCCAGAAAAAACCCUUGCAGAACAACCAAGGUGCAAGCUUUGUUCCGAAGUUCUCAUAACGAAUUAGAAAAUGGGCUAUAUAUGGUUGGAAAGCUCUAGAAGUCUUCUUUCUGAUGGUUUUUAUAGCUUGUGAUUCGGAGGUUUUGACAAGAAAUUUUGACAGAAUAAAGAGGAGCUGUUCAGCUACAAAUUCUGAUAACAUAUAGUUUUCAGUUACUCCUAUACUAAAAGCUGAUUGUAAUGAGCUAUAAAUGAGAGUCAAUUCAAGGAUGUAAAUGCGUCAGAUGUUGGAUAAGUCCGAAGCCUUUUAAUAGGAGAAAAAAAUAGAAAAACACAAAAUCUGGAAAGAGAGCAGGAAUCUUCAACCUUGAGCAGUUUCUAGGUUCUAGCUUUCCUGAAUUUUUAUGUAUUUUGUUUUUAUGGAUACUUAGGGUUGCUUUGAAGCCCUAGACAUGAUUGAAUUAAUGUUAUGAUGCAGUUUUAGUUUAUCAAUUUCAUUUGCAAGCUAGAAUCAGUUUUCUGUUUCAAUCAUUUCAAGCACAUAUUUUCAAGCUUAGCUACCUUGUUUAUGUUUGCUUUCUGUUGAGAAUGAUAAGGAUGAUUGCCAUAUCUUCUUUCAUUUAUUAGCAACAUGUGGUUAGGUUCAGAACUAAUCAUGUAAAUUGAUUCCAUGAAGUUCUAGGAUAAAUGCCUGUUGGAAAUGUGCCCUAAAACCAAUCAUAUGAUGAUACUUUACGGACAUUUCACAUGUUAAACUAAUCUAGUUUAAUAUCAAGGGCAAAGAUUAUUGUUUGAGCCGUCUCAUAUAAAUGUUAUAUGCUUAAACGAUAAGUCCAAGGAAUAUGUGAUUGGGAGAAUGCGAUCUAAAGAAGUUAGAUUCAUGAGACCAUUCUUUCGUAGACACAUCCUAAACGUUCCUGAUCAUAGGAUUGCCAAUUGGGCAUUGACAGUCCGUUAAGAUCAGUACGUGCUGUGUCUUCUCUCAGGGAGAGUGAUUAGUCUCGAGUCAUUGGUGUGUGUGACAUCAAGACAAGUACGUAGGUGCUCAAUAGAGAAUGAGUUCACUGAACACGAUCAACGAAGAGUUCUCAUAUUCAUGUCACAUGAGAACUCAUGGUUGGGAUAAUGCAAAGUAGUCCUUUGACCUGAGGCAUCACGUUUGUCUUGUGGUUAAGUCCUUGAUCUUUAAUUAUGUCAAAGUCACCCCAUCUGCGGGUGUCCACGGCAUCGUUGGGGUUAAGCCACUUAGCUAUGGAGGCAAGUGAAUGCGCAACAAGGGAUCUCUAACCUUCAAACCAUUUGAGGGAGAAUACUCUAUGAUAUGAUUAAGAAUCUCUGGCCAGAGUAUGAAUGAGAUUUAGGAAAAGUCGUUCCAAAUCACAUUCAAGGUAAUCAUAUAAGCACACGAAUCACAUUGGAUAGUAGACAUGAAUAAACUAUCAAACCAAACAAUGUGGUCAAGAGUAUUGUAUUAGAGAAAGACCGUAUUGCAUUUGUAAUCCUAAACUGAAUAGGUUCUCUACCUCUUCUGAUUAGCUUGGGUAACCAUCAUAUGCUGCUAGGUGUCACUCUUGGUUUGUGGAAGCCCUAAACGUGUGUAAUCACUAAAGGGAGAAUUGAAAGUAAGUUUCAAUUCACAAUCGAUUUGAAAGAGUUUGAAUCGCCCACUGCCUCGGUAAAAGGAACCUAAUGGAUCGUACACCGUGUAAGGUGGAGAUUGAAGAAACAAUGGAGAUGAGUAAGAAUAAUUAAAUGGUUUAAUUAUUUAUGGCAAGGAUUAAUUAAUAUGUUAAUUAAUCAAACGAAUAAGUUCGUUAAAAGACCACGGGUUAGUUUAGGGCCUCAAGGCCCAAUAGGCUUCGAACGUCAAGCCCAUUGACUUAAGUUGUAUGACAACUUGAUGACAAAUAAUUCACAAAGGCCUUAAAAGCCCAAUGAAACCCUAUGGCCGGCCAUUUAGUUAAAGGAGUGGGUUUUGGACUUAUUUACAAGUUUGCCACUCCAAUGAAUUAAGGUAUAAAUAUGACUUUAUAGCCAAAAUUCAUUUAGGGUUUUCUUUUAGGAAAUUGGAGAGAACACAAUGCUCUCCUUUCUCUCUAAAGAGGCCGGCCCCCUUGGAGGGUGUAUCUAGCAAUCCCACUACUCCAAGGUCACUCAUUUCUUCAUCAAUCUUACCUUGGUGUGGAUACUUAGAGGUUCUCAAUUUUGGAAACUUGGAGAACCAUAUUCUUCCAUCCAAAUCCAUAGAUUUUAGAUGCAAGGAAUGAAGGCCCUCUCUUUGGGUGAUUAGCCUUUGCUUAUGCAAAGAGGAAUCUACAAAGGUAUAUAUUUCUCAACUCACUUUGAUUUGAGUUGAGUCUUGGUUCACCAAUCUACUAGGCUUUGAAUUUCAUGGGUAAUGUUUUGUUUUUGAGUGCAUGCAAGCAUGAUUCCACCUUUAAUUGUUAAUUGCAUGCUAUAUGAUGUUGCUCAAAUGAACAUGUUUUCACAAAAUCAUCCUUCAAUGCCAUGUUCUAGGUUCAUGUGAUGUUCAUAAUCCUCUUCAUUCUUAAUGAGUUUCUAGGUGCUAAAUCUGAGUAUAUGCCAUGCUAGGUUGCACCUACAAAUAUAAGUUCUAUGUAUAUGUCAUGCAUCUAACAUGCAAAGUAAGAGAGGAUUCAUACAAUCUAGUUAUAUGCUAUGCUAGAUAUGUGAACAUCUUAGUUGUGCAUUUGAAAGGGAUAAGUUAAAAGAUCAUAUCAUUGAUUCAUGAAUGUUUAAGGGAAGGCCUUUGUUCAUUUGAAGUCAGAUUUAUGUCCUAAAAACGUUUCUACCUAUUCCAUGUCUUAGGUUUGUUUUUAGAUAGUUCUAAUUUUUCCCUUUUCUUUUUGUCUUUAUUUCUUUUCCAAAAUUACUCAAACCCCCUAUUUUAGUCAUAGGACUCUUUAACUAAUGCUAAUUUGUAAGAGUCAAAGGUUUUACUAAGUUGUUUCUCAGUCCUUAUGGUUCAACACCCUUACUUGUGCCGCUAUACUAUCCUUAUAUUUUCACUCGAAAAGAACUUCAACAGUUUAUUGAUAUAUGCAAAACGCUAUCCAAAACUUGACAAUGAAAAGUCGAAGGCUUUAGUUUCCAUACUUGGUGCCACAAUCUCAUAGAUUGUCUUGAAUGGAUUGUAUAUGUACCUAAGUAGUCUCAUCCUCACAAUAAUCCUAUUGAUAAUGUAUCAUUGGAAGAACAAGUUAGAUAUGUCUAUCAUAAAGAGGAUAACACAAACAACAUGUGCUUCUUCCUUUGUUGAAUGAACAAAGGAACUAAAGAAGAUUAGCACAAAGACAUGGACACUUUAAGUGCCAUAAUUCUUCACUUACCAAUCGUUGUAAGAAGAAAUAAGAGUUUCUUUGAACAACCCUUAGUUAACACAAACACUAGUGCUUGUUUCUUUGUUAAAUGAACAAGGAACUUGAGAAGUAAGUACAAGGGCAUGGACACUUUAUGUGCCAUGAUUCUUCACUUACAAAUUGUUGCAUGAAGAAAUGAGAGUUGUCUUGAACAACUCUUGAAAGUUUGUAAUCUUGUUCAGAACAAGAUGGUUGUUUGACAAAAAUGGUCCAUCAAUACAACGAAUGAUGAUUUAAAAUCAUAUGAACUUAUGAUUUUUUUGAAUCAUUGAGUGUUGAAGUGUUAAACCAUUUCACUAGAUAGAAACUAGGUUAGGACUUCACCAUUGUGUGCUUAUCCUAAUGAUUUGCAAAGUUUAUUGUAAACUAUAUAGUGAACCAUUACCACACACUCUCCACAUCGUCUGCUGUGUGUAAUACAUUUGAAAUAAGUUUCAAGACAUAGUAGGAGCUUAGGGACCAUGACUAUUGCAGUCAUAAAAGAAGUCAAAUGAAGAAGGAAAAAUAACUCCAAGGGAACAAACUUUCUUUAUGAAAGGAUGGAUAUUGGAAGGGGUAAGAUGCAAGAAAUGUCUUGCAAGUGUCAAGAACACACUUUUUGAAGGUGUUGUAAAUUAUUCUUGAAAUAGUCAAAGCAAUUGGUUCUUCUACUUGAAUGUUUGAUUCUAUACUAGUAACUAUGUUUGCAAUCAUUGUAAAAGAGUGAUUAGUAAGAAGUACAAGAUUAGUGAGAGAAAAGAAAGUACUUCUCAUUUAGAUCGUGAAUAAAGAUAUAGAUCUUUGUGAAAGUAGUUAUUACUUACUUCCUCAUUCGAACUACCAAAGAAAUUGGAAAAACAAAGAUUGCCUUUACACUCCAAUUUGAAUAAGGAACUUAAUUCCAUCACUAUAGUUUUAAGAGACGGAUGAAUUGUUUUGUUUGACAAAAUAUUGUUCUUUAUUAGUAAAUAUUUGGAUUAUUGUAAUCCGAUUGAUUGUCUCUACAUCAUAGAGAUGAUGCGGUAGUGCUAACUAUUUAGAAUAUAAUGAUGCUUAAAACCCAAAAGGUUACAAGGUAGUGACUAACCCUACUGAAUUGUGACACCAUGAAAACAUAAAUUACAAGUUGGUCAUAGAUGGAUGCUUUGGAUCGUUAGAUCCGGACCCAAUGCCUUCUUAUUAAACUUGUAUAAAGGUGAAAUGUUUGAAUCUUUAUUCUUUUGGAAAGAAGAAAUAGUCACAAAGUUGUUAAGGUUAAUUCACUUAGAUGUUAAUGCCAUUUGUCCAUAAAAUAAUACUACUCAUGUCGUAUGACAUUCACCGAAGAUCACUCUCCAUUGGGAGAAUAAUGAACUCUAAUUAGAUGUGGUUCAUUAAAUAUUAUCAAAUUACCCAUAUAUAGGAUACACUUCCAAGAAAUAUAUGAUUGUCAAUUAGAAUGUCUUCCAAAAUGUUUCAUAACUCCAUAAGAUGUAGUUUGAAAGAAAGAUAAGUCUUAAUCAAGUUAAGAUUUGGGGUUGUCAUGCAUAUGUCAAUUGACUUAAUGCAUGUGUGCUAAAGAGCAAUGUUUGUAUAAGUAUAAUCCUAAGAUAAAGCAAAUGAACGAGAGAUAUAACUCAAGGAAUGGGUUCUUUUAGAGACAAGAUAAUACUUAGCAGACGUAAUAGCGUAGUUCUUACACCAUGAGCUCUAAGAUAGUCGAAGAAGAAUCUAUGAACCAUCUAAGUUGAAUGGUUUGAACUUUAUGACUACGUCAUAGAUGUGGGACCAUGAUUUUCGAAGGCCAGAGUAAGGCUGAUCUGAAUAUAGUUACCUCAAGAGUCUGGUCAUGCACUCACCAGCUCUAGAGUUGUAUUAGAUGGAGUAACGGUGCCACCAUCACUCUACUCUGGUGCACUAGGCGGAGUUCUGGCGACUUUGUUGGAUAACCAUGCUUGUUCCACAAGACGUGCGAUCUGAUCCUAAUAUGGAUGAGAUUUAGAAAGUUAUUCCAAAUCACAUUCAAGGUAAUCAUAUAAAUAAGAGAAUCACAUUGGGUAGUAGACAUGAACAACCUAUGAAACAAAACAAUGUGAUUAAGUGUAUUGUAUUAGAGAAAUACUGUAUUGCAUUUGUAAUCCCAAACUGAAUAAGUUCUCCAACCUCUUCUGAUUAGCUUGGGUAGCCAUGACGUACUGCUAGGUGUCACUUAUGGUUUGUGGAAGCCCUAAAGAUGUAUACUCACUAAAGGGAGAAUUGAAAGUUAGUUUCAAUUCACAAUCGAUUACUAAGAGUUCUACUCGCACACUGCCUCGCUAAAAGGAACCUUAUGGAUUGCACACCGUGUAAGGUAAUAAUUGAAGGAUAUAACAAAGAUGAGUAAAGACAAAUAAAUAGUUUAAUUGGAUAGGGCAAGGAUUAAUUACAAGUUAAUUAAUUAAGAGCGAAAGAUUCGUUUUAGACCUUAAGUUAGUAUUUGAUUUCGGGACCCAAAUGAGUUUGAUAGGAGCAUAUUUAUGCGACUUAGUUAGCUUGUUUCUUGGCAUUUAUUUACUUAGUUUCUACUUAUUAUAGUGAUUUAAGCUAUUUUCGUGUGUUUGUAGGUUCAAAUGACAAAAUUGGCAAGAAAAUGCAUUUUGGUGCAGUUUUGGGCUGAAUUGGAGUGCAUGCAUGUGGAGCAAGUUGGAUGGACUUUUUUGGUUCUUAAAUAAGGCUAGGAACAUGCAGCAAAUCUGGAGAAACAAAUGCAAGUUGCAAGAAUGGUUGGUGCACUCAUGAUAGGAGCAUAUUUAUGCAACUUACUUGGCUUGUUCUCAUGCAUUUACGUUGUGUUUCCUUAGUUAUUUUAGUGUUUAAAGUCACUUUUGUGUGUUUUCAGAUUCCAAAGCUAAAGUGUGCAAAAUGAUGUAAUUUGGAGCCUUUUGGAGCAAAAGGAAUGGAUGAAUUGAAGACUUGAAGAAAUUAGGAUUCCUAAUCGACGAAGGAUUCCUAAUUGACGAAGGAUUCCUAAUCGAAGAUGGAUUCCUAAUCACAUGAGGAUUCCUAGAAGAACAAGGAUUCCUACUCCAACAAGGAUUCCUACUUGAAGUAGGAAAGUUAAGCCAAAGUUUCCUAUUUUGGUUUAACCUUUCCUAAGUCUAAAAGCAUUUAUGUUCCAGCCACUUUGAAGACCUCAUACACACUAUAGGACAUAAAAAAAAGAUUCCUUGCACCACCAAGGUAGUGCCGCACCUUACAUACCCUUUCCUUGCCGUGAGUCCCCUUUUCCUUUCUUUUUAGGACACUAUCCCUUUCCCAAACAUCCAGCCGCACCACCCUUGCCUUUCCUCUUCCUUGCCGUGCAAGGGAGAGGGUCCUUUCCUGUUUCUUUGCAAUUAAAACACUUUCCCCUUUGGUUUUAAACCCUAGCCGCACCUCUUAGCCUAAUUCCCUUUAGUUUUCUGAUUCUAUUUACUAUUUAGAUAAGUUUUAGACUUAAUUUCUGUUUACCAAAAUAGCCUAGGGUUUUUAAUUUCCUAAUCCCUUUAAAUAAACAUCCUUGUGUAGCCACAAACACCCCCAUUCAUCCAUAGACUGCCAUUCACGCCAGAACACAUUCCAUACACUUAGCCGCACCAUUCUACCACCAUUCACCCUAGUUUCUACCUAAAAACAUCCCUAGCCGCCCCAUACACUCACCCUACACCCCUUGCCGUGCCUCUACACCCCCCAAAAUCCAUUCUACAUCAUCAAAACAGCCCAGGAACCACCAACAUCCAAUCUGCCGCAAGCAAGGAAAAGGGACAGUUUCACUCAAUUGUUUGGCUCUUCAUUCUGAGUUGUUGAACAAUUUUAGGUGUAUUCUAUCUUAUAUUUCAAUGUCUAAUUCAUUUAAUCUUUGUUUUGCUUUAAGUAUGAUUGGCUAAUUUUGUUUUGGCUAAGGGUGUAUUCAAAACCAUGAUUAUAUAUGUGAAAUAAGUUGAUUACUUCCAGUUAUCGUUGCAUAAGUCGUGAAUACAAUUUGCUUAACCGUUUGAUUUAGAACUUGUUCUUGUAUGUUGAUUGAGAGUGCACGCUGUUGGAAGUAUGCCCACAAAGCCACUCAUUUGAUGUAAUAGCUUUUUGGAAUACUUAUUGUGUUAAACUUUUAUAUGUUUAAUGGAGGGCAAAUCUUAUUGUUAAUCACUAUUUAUUGUAUCAUGUGUUUAAGCAAUAAGGGAAUCCAAGGAAUGUAUUUGUUCUAAGAGAUAAGUGAUCUAAUGAGUUAGAUUAUCGAGACCUUUCUCUUAUGUUCAUUCCUAAAAUGUUCCUAGCCAUAGGAUUGCUAAUUGGGUAUUGACAAUCCGCUAAGGCUAGUAUGUGUUAUGUUGACUCAAUCGUGAGUAUAACUAGUCUCAAGUCAUUUGGUGUUGAACACUAAGACAAACACAUAGGUGCUCGAAAGAGUACUCGAGUACACUGAACUACGAUCAAAAGAGAGUUCGGACAUACAUGUCAUGUAUGAACUCUAAGGUUGCAAUAUGCAAAGUAGUCCUUUGACCUGAGGCAUCAUCGAUGUCUAAUGGUUAGGUCCUUGAUCUUUGAUCAUGUCAACGGCAUUCCUUUGGAGUGUCCACGGCAUUGUUGGGGUCAAGCUAUCUAGUCAUGUAGGCAUAUGAAUGUACAACAAGGGAUCUCUAACCUUCCAUGGUGGAGGGAGAAUACUCUAAGAUAUGAUUCUAAAGUCUUUGGCCAAAGCAAAUGAAUAUGACUUAGGAAGUUUGUUCCAAAUCAUAUUCAAGGGAAUCAUAUAGGAAAGUAUCACAUUGGAUAGUAGACAUGAAACAAACUAUCACUUAAACAAUGUGAUUAAGAGUAUUGUAUUAGAGCAGAACCGUAUUGCAUUGUAGUUGUAACUGGAUAGGUUCUCCAACCAAUUCUACUUAGCUUGGGUAACCAUGAUAUGCUGCUAGGCGUCACUCAUGGUUUGUGGAAGCCCUAAUGGUUAGCAAACACUAAUCAACAAAAAGGGAGAAUUGAAAUGUGGUUUCAAUUCACAAUCGAUCGUUAAGAGUAACAUCGCCCACUGCCUCGCUAAUUGGAACCUAAUGGAUCGUACACCGAGUAAGGAUGUAUGUGAAGAAAUCAAAUGAAAUGGAUAAGCAAUUAAAUGGUUUAAUUGAAGAAUGGUCAAGAUUAAUUAAUUAGUUAAUUAAUUAUACGAAAGGUUCGUAUUGGGCUUAUAUGUUGGUUUUGGGUUUCGGGGCCCAAAAGCGUUUUGGUCCAAAAGGCCCAUUAUGUUUAAGUUGUAUGACAACUAAAACAAAAUGGGCAAAUUAGCCCAAUAACAAAGGAUGGCCGGCCAUUAGGGUGGAUGGGCAAAAGUUUGCUUAAUUACAAGUUUGCCACUCACCAAAGAAAAGGUUAUAAAAGCAACUUUAUAGCUAUUUUCUCAUUAGGGUUUUUCUUGUUGAAAUUGGGUGAAACAUUUUCUCCAUUUUCUUCUAAGGAGGCCGGCCACUAAGGGAAGGGACAUCUAGCAAUCUCUUUUUCCCUUAGUCAUCCAUUUCAUCUUCACAAGAUACAACCUUGGUGAAGAGACUUAGAGACAUCAAGCUUUUGGUGUUUUGGAGAACAAAUCCUUAUUUCCUCAAAUCUUCAAAGGAGCACUAAAGGGAGGAAAACACAAGGAGGAUUCAAGGAGCUUGGAGGUGACUUGAAGGCCCUCUACUUGGGUGAAUCCCUUGUGUAAUCAAGGAUGUGCUUCAAGGGUAAAGAAUCACUAAAUCUUUACUUAUCUUUAAUGUUGUUAAAGAGUUUAUUUUGGUUCACCAUAUACUAGGCUUUGAAAGUCAUGGGUUUUAUGAAUUGUUUUUGGAUGCAUGCCUACUUUAAAGUGUUAAUAGAUUGCAUGUGUAUUCAAAUGUUCAGACUUGUUCUUAGCUAGGACAAAAUUUUUCCUUCAAGUGGUAUCAGAGCCUAGGCCUAGUGUAUGGUGAAUCCUUUUGGGUUUUGUGAUGUUCAUAUUUUGUGAUUUAAAUGUUGUAAAUGUUACAAGCUUUGUUCUUGCUUUUGAAUAUAUAAAUUUUGCUAGAAAAUUUAGCAUCUCAAAUGUUGUAGAUGUAUUUCAUUGAAGCAUGAAUAUUGGAACUAAAAUUUGGUGCCAUGAGUUUUGGGAAAUUCGGCCAAAUCCUUAGGGUGACUUUUUGGGUUCAUGUUUGUCUUGUUAAAAUGGUUUUAAGGUGACUUUUGGAACCCCUAAGUACCCUAGGAUAUUAGCCCUCUUUUAAGAGGUGAAAAAUUGAGUUUUGGUGAAUGAAAACAUCCAUGGGGCUAUUAUGAGUUUUCAUGGUGUUCUUCAUUGUUCUUGGUGUUCUUGCCAAGAACAUAAAGUUUUGAAGUUUUGAUUCAAAAGUUUUAUGUUUUUCAUAAAGUUUUGGUAUAUUAUUGAUUUAUUAUUGAUGGGUGAUGUUUAUUGGUGAAGUAUUAUUGUUGGUUUUAAUGUUAGACAAAAAUCUCUUACAAACCUAUCCAAAUCAACUUUACCUCACCCACCAAAAUCAACUUGCAAAAACUUUUUAGAAUUUUUUCAAUUUUUCAUUAAAUGGCCGGCCACCCCUAGUGGGGGUACUUUUGGGGCCUUUUGUGCAAUUACAUAAAGUUUUAGAUAUUUUUGUGUAUUUGCAUUUUGGCCCAAAAGUUUACGUUUUUACGUUAAGGCCCUAAAACUCUAAAGGACAAAUUGUUUUGAUCCUUUAAUGAUGUUUUUACAUUAUUAAAAUUUUGGGAUCUAGUUGUAAUUACAUGAAGUUGUGGACUAUUGUGUCUUUACAAAGUGACCCCAAAAGUUUUUGUAUUUGCAUUAUGGCCCAAUUGUUGUGGUCAUAGUUUCCUAUUGGCCCAAAAGGAUGAGAACAAAAUUGUUUUGUCUCUUUAAUGAGAAUUGGAUUUUCAUUUCAUUUAGUUCCAUUUAAAUCAAUUCUAUGGAUCCAAAAACCAAUUGUUUAAAGUUGUUUUCUUAGUUAAUGUGAUUGAUUAAGAAAAGGGUGAUUAUGAACCAAAGGCCACGAUAAUUGAGCUAUGUGAUUGGCCGAUAUACAUUAUGAAUGUUUGGGUUUUAGUAGUAUAGAUUUGAAUGUAAUUUGAUUAAUUCAAGUUGUUGUAAAUGGACAUAAGUCCAUCCUUUGAUUUGUGUUGUAAAAGGGCAUAAGCCCUUCUUAUUAUUUCAUGUAUUCCUUUUGUUUAUAUGUAUGCAAAAUGGAAUAGUUGGGUCCAACGCCCAAUAGGAAAUAACGGUUUAAUUGGAUUAAACGCGUAACUAAAAUCAACAACUAUCUACCUUAAACCCAAGGUCCAACACAAGGCUCGUGUUGGAUCAAAUCAAUCGGUUCAUAAUCAUCCUAAAACCUAAUAUGACUACAUAGUCCAUAUGAGGAUGCAAUGCAUUCGUUAGUAGUUCCAUAUAGUCUCGCUUGUUUCAACGAAACAGUGGGAGUAUUAUAUGCUACUAAUUCAUAUUAACUUGGACCAAUAGUUGUGAUAGGCCCAAGUUCUUUUAAUAUGAUUAAAAUGAUUUUGAUGUAGCCCAAAACUACUCCCUCAAAAUGAAGAUUUAAGUUGAUAAGCGAGAGAUGUUUAGAAUAUCUCUUCGUAGGCCUUCCACCGUGGUGGGCUCCAAGCGUUUGUGACUCAUACACCGGCUUCACCCUAUCAUGGGGGAGUACAAAGUAUGUGCUUACAUCCAGGAGGAGUCCAUAAACAUAUGAUGAGAUUAGUGUAGGCAACGAGGGUAGCCGACAUCGUAUCAUCGUGAGGCUAUUCUUGAACCCCUUCACAAACUAAGCAUGGUGGGAAUAACUUAAACUAAGUGCAAUGGUGCCAACAUCGUAUCAUCAUGAGGCAACAUUCUCUAGAGGCCAAACGGAUGGGUAAUUACAAAAGUUGUAAAUGAAUAAUGCGUUAUUCUCUCAUCAUUAUUUUUGCUAGCCAAACAUCGUAUCAUCGUGAGGUGGGUUUGGUAAUGGUGAGUCUCCCAUAACCCGCUAAGAGUUCAAUAUAACUCUCGAAUU